Molecule: long non-coding RNA, 387 nt
Organism: Hyaena hyaena (striped hyena)
Lineage: Eukaryota; Metazoa; Chordata; Mammalia; Carnivora; Hyaenidae
Exons: 3
Source: RefSeq, a predicted model, not a curated record
CAGGUCUACUCGGUACAGGACAGAGUCCCUGAGCUGGUCUUCAGCAUACGCGGGAAUACGCAAGCUCCUGUGCAUGUUCACGUCCCGCGGUGAUGCUGUGUGAUAAGCCACACCCCCCUCUUAGUGACUGCGCAUGCUCAUGUCCUGGGGGGAUGCGUUGUGGUCGGCCACACCCCAGGAACUGGGCGGAGACUCAAGGUAAUCUCUGGGAUUCUUGCUCUUGUCCAAUCCAGUAUGCUUCUGUUCUGUACAGAGGCCUCCUCAGUCACAGCGGCAAGAGAAGAGAGCAUGUGGAGAACGAGUCUCAACUGCAGCCCCAAAGUAACACUGAUCACAUCCCUCCCAACACACUGGCCAGAGCUAGUAGCAUGGCCAAAUCCAACUCCA